CCUACGGGGGGCUGCAGUGGGGAAUAUUGCGCAAUGGGCGAAAGCCUGACGCAGCGACGCCGCGUGAGGGAUGAAGGUCUUCGGGUCGUAAACCUCUGUCAGCAGGGAAGAACGAUCACUGUGCUCAUCAGCAGUGAAUUGACGGUACCUGCCAAGGAAGCACCGGCUUACUCCGUGCCAGCAGCCGCGGUAACACGGAGGGUGCGAGCGUUAAUCGGAAUUACGGGGGGUAAAGCGCUCGUUGGCGGGAUGGCAAGUCAAGGGUGACAUACCCGCGCUGAACGUGGGAACUGCCUUUGAAACUGGCAAAAUGGAGUGUGGGAGAGGAUAGUGGAAGUCCAGGUGUAGGAGUG
Molecule: ribosomal RNA, 353 nt
Filed under: uncultured bacterium
Lineage: Bacteria
Description: partial 16S ribosomal RNA
Rfam family: Bacterial small subunit ribosomal RNA
Source: RNAcentral